UGCCAAAGACAGUUUGCCGAGAAAGAAGCUAGGGGCAGUGAGUUGGAAGAGCAGCGGGAAUUGAAAUGGCAGAGAUUGGUUGCUGCGGCAGAACAAGGAGGCUGAGUGAGGAAAAUGGUAACAGUUUACCUGAUCACUCUGGAUGGGAUGCAUCAGAUCCAAAAUGGUGGGAUGCAUGAUCCACAAAAAAAAGAAAAGAAAAAGAACAGAAAAUGUUUUUAUCUCUAUGUUGGUGGUAUUUUUUUUAAAUUUAUUAUUAUUAUUUAUCUUCCUCUUUAGGUUGUCCUUUUGCCAAAGCAUUGAAGAUAGUUUUGUGUAAUUUACUGAUAGUUAAGAAUGGCUUUAGGAUACAAUGUUUUCCUUCCAUUUACAACAUGGAGAUUCCUUGUACAAUAUUCAAUAUUUCCUAACGUUUACAGCAUGAAGAUACCUUGUACAAUAUUUUCUUCCAUUUAGGGCAUGUGAUAUUAUCAAUUAGCAAAUGAGUGUUUGAGCUGAGGUUGGAUGGGUAGUGUAUCAGUUGUCAGGGACGGAGCUAAAUGGAUGUUGGAGGGUGCCAUGGCCCCUCCAAGGUUUGAAAUUUUUGUAAGAUUCAUCCCAAAAUUUGAAAAUUUUAUAAAAUUCAUUUGUACAUUUGGUUUGUUUUGAAAAUUUUGUAAGACUACGACACCCCAAUUUUUGAC
This 683-nucleotide long non-coding RNA is filed under the name Panax ginseng (ginseng). Its description in RNAcentral is "long non-coding RNA (PGIN_LNC014065)". The record is from RNAcentral. Lineage: Eukaryota; Viridiplantae; Streptophyta; Magnoliopsida; Apiales; Araliaceae.